RNAcentral lists this ribosomal RNA (407 nucleotides) under uncultured bacterium. RNAcentral describes it as "partial 16S ribosomal RNA". It matches the Rfam family "Bacterial small subunit ribosomal RNA", at positions 30 to 526 of the family's 1533-position model. The record is from RNAcentral.
AUUGAACGCUGGCGGCAGGCCUAACACAUGCAAGUCGAGCGGAGCGGCGGACGGGUGAGUAAUGCAUUGGCAUCUACCUGGCAGUGGGGGAUAACGUCCGGAAACGGGCGCUAAUACCGCAUACCAGCAGAUGAGCAUAGGUCGGAUAAGCUAGUUGGUGGGGUACAUGCUUACCAAGGCGACGAUCCGUAACUGGUCUGAGAGGAGGAACAGUCACACUGGGACGAAGAAACGGUCCAGACUCCUACGUGAGGCAGCAUUGGGAAAUAUUGGACAAUGGUCGAAAGCCGGAUCCAGCCAUGCCGCGUGUGUGAAGAAGGUCUUCGGAUUGUAAAGCACUUUAAGUUGGGAGGCGUUACCAACAGAAUAAGCACCGGCUAACUGCGUGCCAGCAGCCGCGGUAAUUC